UGUCCCACCGCAGAAAGGACCUGGAACAUUACAUGUGUCGCGUCAAAGGUUGCGGCGGGUAGAGCGCGCCCUCUGCCGGAAACACGGCAAAGGACGCCGCGUUCCUGCCUUGUACGCAAGCGGCUGAUAUUAGACUUACCUCUGUCGAAGAUAUUAAGAGACAGUAUCUCGCAAUAAAAAUCCCUUUUUCCUUAAGAUACAGGAAAGAAAGGAGAAAUGAGAAGUCAAUUUAUUUUAUUUAUUUAUUUUUUUCUUCGUAUAAAUAGAGACGUUUCGAGUCUUUUACAAGGUGCUCUGAUGGUAACGUCGUGUUGCAUGUGUGUAUAAUUUUGUUAGAUUCAUUCUUCGUAAUUUUGCGCUUGCUGUAAUUGAGAUAAAUCGAUAUUAUUGACGCGAUCAAAAAGCUGUAACUUCGAGUAUCACUGCCGCACGAACAGUAAACUCACGUGUAAUCUCGUGUGACAAUCGUGCUCGUGUCGAGGUAUAAUUAGGUUUGCUCAAAUGAACAAAAAUGACUCGAUGAGCAGAUACGGGCCUCUUGUCGGCGCAAUUGACGAGGGCACGAGCAGUGCUAGGUUUCUGGUUUUUGCAGCGAAUACAGCAGAAGUUUUAACAUAUCAUCAAGUCCCAAUAUCGCAAACAUACCCAAAAGAGGGAUGGGUUGAACAAGAUGCUUUAGAAAUAUUAAAAGCAGUUAGAGAAUGCCUUAAACAAACUGUAUUUAAUUUAAGACAACUGACGAUAGACCCAGCCGACAUAGUUGCAAUUGGUAUAACAAACCAGAGAGAAACUACAGUUGUAUGGGACUCUAUCACAGGACAACCACUUUACAAUGCCAUAGUAUGGAUGGAUAUGAGAACCACAUCGAUUGUGGAUGAUAUAUUAAAGAAUAUACGGAAUAAAAACAAAGAUUACUUGAAACCACUUUGUGGCUUGCCGAUUAGCCCCUAUUUUAGUGCAUUAAAGUUGAAAUGGUUGUUGGAAAAUAUACCUAAAGUUCAAGAAGCAUUGAUUGCUAAACGUCUUAUGUUUGGCACCAUUGAUUCCUGGCUAAUUUGGAAUUUGACUGGUGGUGCUAAUGGUGGUGUUCAUAGUACAGAUGUUACAAAUGCUUCGAGAACAAUGUUAAUGAAUAUUAUGACUCUGAAAUGGGAUCCUACUCUGUUAUCAUUUUUUAAAAUACCUGCUGAAAUUUUGCCUGAAAUACGAAGCUCUUCCGAGAUUUAUGGUUAUAUACAAGAUGAAUUGCUACAGGGCGUUCCUAUAUCUGGGUGCUUAGGUGAUCAACAAUCAGCUCUAGUAGGUCAAAUGUGUCUACAACAAGGACAGGCAAAAAGUACUUAUGGCACUGGUUGCUUUCUUCUUUACAAUACUGGCACAGCUAUUGUGGAUUCAUCUCAUGGUUUAUUAACAACAGUUGCUUAUCAAUUAGGAGCAGAUGCUUCCCCAGUAUAUGCUCUUGAAGGGUCAGUUGCUAUCGCAGGUGCUGUUAUACAAUGGCUGAAAGAUAAUCUUGGAAUAUUGACUAAUGUAAAAGACUGUGAAACUAUUGUUGAACAAAUACCAACAGACAACCGUGUUGUUUUUGUACCAGCAUUUGCUGGGCUGUAUGCUCCAUAUUGGAGAAAAGAUGCGCGAAGUAUCAUUUGUGGUAUCAGUGAAGAUACUAAUAGCGCACAUAUUAUAAAGGCAGCUUUGCAGGCAGUAUGCUUUCAGACAAGAGACAUUUUGGAAGCUAUGAAAGAAGAUACUGGCUUAGUAUUGUCAAAACUAUUAGUCGAUGGUGCAAUGACUACUAAUGAUUUAUUAAUGCAAAUGCAAGCUGAUAUCUGUGGAAUUCCAGCCACUGAUGUGUGAAACUACUGCACUUGGGGUCGCAAUUGCCGCAGGAAGCGCAGAAGGAAUACGCAAGUGGGAUGUCAAGAUUGAUGCCGCCGUUCCUAGUGACAUUUUUUUGCCGUCAAUAACUGAAAAUGAACGUGAUAUUUUAUAUUCUCAGUGGAAAAUGGCUAUUGGUAGGAGCUUAGGUUGGGAAUUACUUCCAGAAACAAAUG
RNAcentral lists this unclassified non-coding RNA (2054 nucleotides) under Camponotus floridanus (Florida carpenter ant). RNAcentral describes it as "glycerol kinase, transcript variant X3". Lineage: Eukaryota; Metazoa; Arthropoda; Insecta; Hymenoptera; Formicidae. The record is from RNAcentral.